AACGAACGCUGGCGGCAUGCCUAACACAUGCAAGUCGAACGAGACCUUCCGGUCUAGUGGCGCACGUGUGCGUAACGCGUGGGAACCUGCCUUUAGGUUCGGAAUAACUCAGAGAAAUUUGAGCUAAUACCGGCUGAUGUCUUCGGACCAAAGAUUUAUCGCCUUUAGAUGGGCCCGCGUUGGGUUAGCUUGUUGGUGGGGUAAAGGACUACCAAGGCGACGAUCCAUAGCUGGUCUGAGAGGAUGAUCAGCCAGACUGGGACUGAGACACGGCCCAGACUCCUACGGGAGGCAGCAGUGGGGAAUAUAGGACAAUGGGCGAAAGCCUGAUCCAGCAAUGCCGCGUGAGUGAUGAAGGCCUUAGGGUUGUAAAGCUCUUUUACCCGAGAUGAUAAUGACAGUACCGGGAGAAUAAGCUCCGGCUAACUCCGUG
This 433-nucleotide ribosomal RNA is filed under the name uncultured bacterium. RNAcentral's name for it is "partial 16S ribosomal RNA". It matches the Rfam family "Bacterial small subunit ribosomal RNA", at positions 29 to 507 of the family's 1533-position model. The record is from RNAcentral.